This 921-nucleotide ribosomal RNA is filed under the name Triticum aestivum (bread wheat). RNAcentral's name for it is "partial small subunit ribosomal RNA". Lineage: Eukaryota; Viridiplantae; Streptophyta; Magnoliopsida; Poales; Poaceae. The record is from RNAcentral.
AUGAAGAGCACACUUCUGGACGAGAGUUGGCUUCUCUGUCACCCCCGUGCACACGGGCCUUCGACCCCCGUGAACAUGGGACCCCGUGCACACGGCCUCCUGCAACCCCGGUGCGCACGGACUAUACAGAGCCGCGACAUCAACCCCAAGACUACGGCUUCUUCAACACCUUUGGCAUCUUCGCCAAGUGACUUCAAGGCAUCUUCGCCUUCGGAUGUACGGCAUCUUCGCCUACUCCACGAGCUCAAGUCCACUACCUCCACGAGCUACUACGACCUCGACACCGACCACGCGAUUCCUUUCUAUGGGACUCAAGAACCCGAGGAGUAUCUUGAGAGGGAGCGCCUAAUGGACGACUACCUCAAGCAUCAAGUUCCUCCCGAAGAUCAAGUGAAGUGCGCCACAAGUAACUUCCAUGACUACGCAUCGGCAUGGUGGCUUCACACACCUUUGAGGAGCUUCGACAUGACUUGGUCCAAGACAAAGAAAGCGAUGCGGCGAGAGUUCGUGCCUCCAACCUACACGGAACAUCUUCAACGCCAUCUGGAGAACACCAUACAAGGAUUCAACUCCCUCGACGAGUACUUCAAGAGCAUGAAGGAAGCCCUGCGACGAGCCGGUGUGGACGACCCCAUUUGGAUGAAGUUCUACUUCAUGAUGGGAUUGAACAACGACAUCUCCAAGACUAUCUUCAACGACAACUAUGAGUCACUCGAUGACCUAUACAUUGGUGCUCUCAAGGCGGAGCAAUAUCUCAUGAAGGCCAAGUCUACUCGACACCGAGCUCACUUCACAACGACCACGCUUCAAGACGGCGAGAGUGAUGAUGUGCCAUCUUCGGCCUUCAUCCACGGCGAUGACUACGAGAUGGUUGAGCAUGGGAUUUUCCCUUCGACCACGGCUGUAACACCCCGGAUGUAA